Molecule: microRNA precursor, 91 nt
Filed under: Nannospalax galili (Upper Galilee mountains blind mole rat)
Lineage: Eukaryota; Metazoa; Chordata; Mammalia; Rodentia; Spalacidae
Description: miRNA (ENSNGAG00000009404.1)
Source: RNAcentral
UAUACUGGACUUGGAGUCAGAAGUCUUGGGUUCGAGGACUGAGCAUCUUCUUAUUGGCUGGUUAUGUGAAAGCCAACAUGUAGUUAGCUAA